Molecule: RNA transcript, 5881 nt
Organism: Suricata suricatta (meerkat)
Lineage: Eukaryota; Metazoa; Chordata; Mammalia; Carnivora; Herpestidae
Gene: TRIM9
Gene name: tripartite motif containing 9
Exons: 13
Source: RefSeq, a predicted model, not a curated record
GAGAGAGCGCCUCACAGGGAGUCGGCGCCCAGGCGACGCGGGAAGGCGCCACCACCGCCGCCGCUGGCCAAGGUGCUGGAGACAGAGGCCGUCGGUCGUUUCACCAGCUCAGACAACCGUUGCAGCCGCGGCUGCCUAGCUCCCAAGCCGGUCCUCAUGGAAGAGAUGGAAGAAGAGUUAAAAUGCCCUGUGUGUGGCUCCUUCUAUCGGGAGCCCAUCAUCCUGCCCUGCUCUCACAAUUUAUGUCAAGCAUGCGCCCGCAACAUUCUGGUACAGACCCCGGAGUCCGAGUCCCCCCAGAGCCGUCGGGCCUCGGGCUCUGGGGUCUCCGACUAUGACUAUCUGGACCUGGACAAGAUGAGCCUGUACAGCGAAGCGGACAGCGGCUAUGGUUCCUACGGGGGGUUCGCCAGUGCCCCCACUACCCCGUGCCAGAAGUCUCCCAAUGGCGUCCGCGUGUUCCCGCCGGCUAUGCCGCCACCGGCCACCCAUCUGUCACCGGCCUUGGCCCCGGUGCCCCGCAACUCCUGUAUCACCUGUCCCCAGUGCCACCGCAGCCUCAUACUGGAUGACCGGGGUCUCCGCGGCUUCCCCAAGAACCGCGUCCUGGAAGGGGUAAUUGACCGCUACCAGCAGAGCAAAGCCGCAGCCCUCAAGUGCCAGCUCUGCGAGAAGGCGCCUAAGGAGGCCACCGUCAUGUGCGAACAGUGCGAUGUCUUCUACUGCGAUCCGUGCCGCCUGCGCUGCCACCCGCCCCGAGGGCCACUAGCGAAGCACCGCCUUGUGCCCCCGGCCCAAGGCCGCGUUAGCCGGCGGCUGAGCCCGCGCAAGGUCUCCACCUGCACAGAUCACGAGCUGGAGAACCACAGCAUGUAUUGCGUGCAGUGCAAGAUGCCUGUGUGUUACCAGUGCUUGGAGGAGGGCAAACACUCCAGCCACGAAGUCAAAGCUCUGGGAGCCAUGUGGAAACUGCACAAGAGCCAGCUCUCCCAGGCGCUGAACGGACUGUCAGACAGGGCCAAAGAAGCCAAGGAGUUUCUGGUGCAGCUCCGCAACAUGGUCCAGCAGAUCCAGGAGAACAGCGUGGAGUUCGAGGCUUGCCUGGUGGCCCAGUGUGAUGCCCUCAUCGACGCCCUCAACAGAAGGAAAGCCCAGCUGCUUGCCCGUGUCAACAAGGAGCAUGAGCACAAGCUGAAGGUGGUUCGAGAUCAGAUCUCUCACUGCACCGUGAAACUGCGCCAGACCACGGGUCUCAUGGAGUACUGCUUGGAAGUCAUUAAGGAAAACGAUCCCAGUGGCUUUUUACAGAUUUCUGACGCCCUCAUAAGGAGAGUGCACCUGACUGAGGAUCAGUGGGGGAAAGGCACGCUCACUCCCAGGAUGACCACGGACUUUGACCUGAGUCUGGACAACAGCCCUCUGCUGCAAUCCAUUCAUCAACUCGACUUUGUGCAGAUGAAAGCUUCCUCUCCAGUCCCAGCAACCCCCAUCCUGCAGCUGGAGGAGUGUUGUACCCACAACAACAGCGCCACACUGUCCUGGAAACAGCCACCUCUGUCCACGGUGCCUGCCGAUGGCUAUAUUCUGGAGCUGGAUGAUGGCAAUGGUGGUCAGUUCCGGGAAGUGUAUGUUGGCAAGGAGACGAUGUGCACCGUGGACGGUCUUCACUUCAACAGCACAUACAACGCUCGCAUCAAGGCCUUCAACAAAACAGGAGUCAGCCAGUACAGCAAGACCCUGGUCCUCCAAACGUCUGAGGACACAGAUUCAGAAGAACAGACACUCCCUUUUCCAGUGCCUUCGGAAAGAUUGCCGCUCCGUAGAAUGAGUCCUUUCUCCUCCACCCUUAAUCUACAACCCAGCUUUCCCGGGAGAUCCUACUUUGAUUUCCGAUCCUCACCCCACCAGCUGAGCUUGCAUUCUUCUUUGCAGUCUCUCAAUGCACCGGGAUGCAAUUUUGAGACACAAUCUGCACCUUACUCUCAAUUAGUUGACAUUAAAAAGCUGUUGGCAGUGGCCUGGUUUGCUUUCGACCCCAGCUCGGCACACUCUGACAUCAUCUUCUCCAAUGACAACCUGACCGUGACCUGCAGCAGCUACGAUGACCGGGUGGUGCUGGGGAAGACCGGCUUCUCCAAGGGCGUCCACUACUGGGAGCUAACGGUAGACCGCUAUGACAACCACCCGGACCCUGCCUUCGGCGUGGCUCGCAUCGACGUGAUGAAGGAUGUGAUGUUAGGAAAGGACGACAAAGCUUGGGCAAUGUAUGUGGACAAUAACCGGAGCUGGUUCAUGCACAACAACUCGCACACCAACAGAACUGAGGGAGGGAUCACCAAGGGGGCCACCAUCGGGGUCCUCCUCGACUUAAAUCGGAAAAACUUGACAUUUUUUAUCAACGAUGAACAGCAGGGUCCCAUAGCCUUCGAGAAUGUGGAAGGCAUGUUCUUCCCAGCCGUGAGCCUGAACAGGAACGUGCAGGUAAGCACCGUGCCCCCGCGUGUCACCGCAGCUUCCGCUCGCUCUGCUUCAAAGGCUGCCCGCGGGCGGUACAUUGAUCCCUGAGACAGGGAAGCCAACCGUGUAAGGCCCAGACCAAGACACGGAGGAAAGGCGAGGGGAAAGGGAUCAACGGUGACAACUGAGAUGAUUCCAGAUCAGCAUCAGCCCCUUCGUUAAGCUUGGACACAGUCUAAUUAACAGCAAGUGGGAAAUUGGAACUCUGUUCAUGGUUUGCUAUUGAUCAUCCCUGAGGCCUAGAUUCAUCCCUAGUAGGAACGAAACCCUUGAACCAGCUGGCAUGAAAACAGAUGGAAUGACUUAUGCAGAGCGCCUUGAGCGCCCCAGAAGUGAAGGUGUGAGACUGAAGUUUUAGCACCAUUAUCAGAAAGCCUGAACAUCUUCGCUGCACUCUUACUCGGUGGGGAUAGAAAACAAUCCCUGCCUGCGGCCCACUUAGGAUUUACUGCAAAUGGCAAACUACAGGUUCUUCUCAUGCAUUCAUUCAACAGACACCUACCGGGUGCCUUUAAUACGUAAGGCACUAUUAUUAUAAUUACUACGACUAGACGGGGUUUUCUGGGAGGCUGAAAUCUAAUCUCUCAGAGUCCAGCCUCUACAUUGGAAGAAAGAAAACCAUAAAUUGCCCUAGAAGUGAGUCUUAGAAAAACCUCCUUCGAAGCUUUCCACAUUUUCAGCUGUUUCCCCUUCCAAGGAAUAUUGCACUCGAUGCUCUUCAGCGGUGUCCAGGAUGUUCUGAGUAUCUCUGGAGAAAGACUCUUGGGCUGGGGAAGACAGGGAUGAGGAGGGGAGGGAUGAUGACCACCCCGCAGGGGACAGUUCCAGCGUCGUGCGUGCAGCUUCCCCCUGAAGUGCAAGGCUGCAAGGAACCCGGGAAACAGUAUAAGUGCCCAUGUUUCUUCUUACCUGGCAAUCACCUAUCCAUUCCCCAAACGAAAGGCUUAGCCUACUGGGAGUAACUAACUAGUGGACAAGUGGUAAGGGAAGGGUUGUCUGCUCACCUGUUCUCUGUCCAAGGAUUUGGCAGUGUCACUGCAUCCCGGCCAACAGGUUUUGCUACCUGCAGAUCAAUGCCUGUGUCUUCAGUCAUAAGGAACACAGUCUUCCCAGGAUCCUUAAAAGAGGCAGGUGGAUGAGAACCGUAUUACCGUCUCCAGGAUUUAGGAGCCCACCGCGGUGGCCAGGCUCCUCACACAGGCAGAAUUCUACUAGAAUUCUCUUUAACGUCUACCAGAAUAGAUGUUAAAGGAAGCCAACCGGGCCCCUGCAAUUAGGAACACAUGCACCGUGCCUGGGGAGGGGCAUGCCGGGAGGGUUCCCGUGGUGCCUCCAGGACUCACAGUCUCCUCCCCCAGGUCACGCUUCACACCGGGCUCCCAGUCCCCGACUUCUACUCCAGCAGAGCAUCAAUAGCCUAAGGACGACUGGCCGGUCCUCACCUCUGCCUGAGUGCCACAGGAAGGAGCUCAGCCAGCACGCGGCAGGAGCGCUCCGGAAGCAGAGGGGGAGAAGAGAAAAGCUGGACCCCGUGUCUUCACUCCCCACAGCUCCACCCCUUCCUUUCGGCCCCGCCCCUCCUGCUCCGAUGCCUGCCGUCACUUCCGCAUCCAGCAACAAAGGACCGUGUCACUUAGUUUCCACGCCCAGAUUUUCCUUUCAUUUAACUUAAUUUUUUUUUGAUGUAGGUGAGUUCUAUUUUGUUUCUUUUCCGAUCAUGUUAUUGGUGACUUACUGAACUGGUACUGCCAAGAGAAUAUUCUCCUGAUAACCUUUAUCUCAAGCUUUCUGACAAAGAGGUUGUAGAGAGAGGUGGGGAAGAAUGAGUUGAAUUUGGAGCUUGCAGUUUACCUCCUAGAAAGUUCUUGCCCUGUUACCUCUCAUGCAGGGUUAGCCCUGCAUAGCUAAUCUUUGAGAGGUGGGCAGAAUGAAUGCAGCAUUGAGAAGUUUUACUAUCUAUUAAAGCACAAAAAUAUUAGCCAUAGGGCUAUACGGAGGUUCACAGCAGGCAGGAUGUUAGGAUAGGCCAGAAACCCUGGUCAUUGAACCAAACUAGCCAGUCUCUAGACAUAGGCAGACCAGGAGAUUUAUGAUUUGAUUCAUUUAUUUAAUACAAGUUCUUAAUUGAGAGCCUACUAUGGACCAGGCACUGUUCUAGACAUUGGAAACACCGUGGUGAAUACACAGGUGUGGUUACUGCCCUUCUGGGGCUUAUAUUCUCAUAGGAGAGCAAACCAAAAAUAAAACAAUUACAAAACCGUUAUAAGUACUAGGAAGGAAAUAAACAAGGGACAAAGAGGCUCAUUGGCAAGAUCUCUCAGAUCCCCAAGAGGGACACUAAAAAGCUACACAUUCUGGCCAUAGCAGCAGACACAUACCAACUCAAUGCCUUUUCAACCACGCUAUUUUAAUUAGGGUACCUGCUGCCAUUUAUCACAGAGCCCUUCUUUGACAGAAAUGAUGUCAGCAUUCUUAUUUGUUAAUGCUGCAGUGACACUAAGCCUUAAAAAUAAAUGUGAAAAAAAAAGCAACCAGAGAGAGAACCCAUUCUCAGUACCGGGGGAUCUGAAGUUGCAGUCCAUGCACCCCCAUUCUCAGGAUAAACGCGCUUGUCUACAUGAACACCUGUGCCUGUUACAAAUGACAGAUCCGUCCACUCUGCUGCCAUGCACAACCCAUCUUUCCGGAGUCGUUCAAACAACAUGUGGAAGAAAAAGGCAGUUGUGUGUCGUUGCUAUGACAGAGCGCAGACUAUAAUUCUCAUUACUUCUCUGUAGAGAUAGACUCACACAGGUUACCCUUCAGACUCUAGUUUGACAUGAAGUUUUAGAAAACGUAGAACAUGGGAAGAGAUUCUGAUCACUUGUCUAAACAUUUGCCAGGGAGCCAAGAAAUUCACCAUGGAGACACAAGAAUAACAAAUAAAAGAGAAGAGGUAGGAUGGGAAAGCUAACAAACUAAAGUUUUGGCAACAAAUAAUAUAUGUAAAUAGCUAGUUAUUUCCUUUUGUGCUUUAUUUAGGUCAUUUCUAUCAGUUACAGUGUUUUUCUAGUUAAGCGUACCUAAUAUAUUGAAUGGGUGCUAUCAUGUUUAUGUCCAUCUUGGUUUCUUGGCUACAGAAAAACUCUGUUGCAGGGCAACACUAGUUUGAUAUUUGACUUACUCUCCAAUGAGACUUGAAGGCUGGGCCGCUGUAGACUCAUAGUUACUCUUGUUCUUUAUUAAGUUCAUCUUGCUAAUUAGAUUUCUAGUGACUUGUAACACGUAGUUUACACAGAAUUGCCAUUGUAGAUGCCUAUAGCUACUGUACUAGAAAAAAAUGGAUAUUUCUGGUGUGCCAAUAAAAGGUUUUUAUGAGAGAAUA